CAAGAGCAAGGUGGGAAGUUCUUGGAGGGAAGGAUGUCGGGGGUCUAUUUGGAAAUAGCCUCUCUACCCCAGGAUAGAGGUAAGGUCUGCGUACAUACUACCCUCCUCAAACCCCACUAAAAGGGAUUGUACUGGGUUGUUGUUGUUGUUGUUGUUGUUGUUGUUGUUGUUGUCUCUACAGUUAUAAUUUCUUAUAGUUGUUUGGCUGGAAAAGAGGCAAUUAACGACUUAAAUAUAUGUGAUAUUCAUCGUAGCAUAUGCACAUAGACUAUUAACUUUAAAGAAUGGUUGAAGUAACACAACACGAAAUAGUUCACUUACUUGCAUGGACUUCAUUAAUUCACCAUUUGUUUUAACUUGAACAACACCCUUAGCUUACUCAUCAGAGACAGAAACUUUGUUGAAAGAUGAUUUGAGUCAGCCUCUCAGAGAAACUAUCCUGAAUAUAAAGUAAUCUGUAUUUAACGAAGUGUAAAAUAUUUUGAUUGAAAAAAUAGAAUUGAGUAUUGAUGCAGUGAAUUUUUUUAUUAAACUAUUUUCUUAAAUCGUCAGAUUGAGAAAAAUUUGGAUUAAUCCAAAACUUUGAUACAUUUCAAGUAUUGCACACCGAAUAUAAAUCUACGAAAUAACGUAUGUGUAAUAUGUAUAGAAAUAACCUAUCCCAAAGUAAAGGCAUGUAAAUAAUUACAUUUUACCUUGAAAUUUAUGUGCUUUUAUAAGCUAUAAAAAUAAAAAGAUAAUUUUUAGCAUAUUGUAAUUGCCAAAUUCAUACAUAAUCAGUGAAUAAGUAUUUAUUCUUAAUCAACAUAUUUAAGUUCGACAUUCAUAACCUUUUCUAAAAAUUUCACCUUGUUUGUGCAUUUGAGCACAAAAUUUACCUGCCACGAGGAGCGGGCCAAGAAUGUCAAUAAUUGUAGAUAAAUGCUCAGGUGUAUCUUUGCAGAAAAGUAGAAGUCCACGGAUCGCUUGUACACGGACCUGGGAGUCAAUAAAGAAAAUACAAAAUUUAUUAGACACCACAUGGUAAAAGUCAAACGUAGUUCUAAAAUAUUUCAACUUCUUCACUAAUAAGCUACCAAUAACAACUAGUUUUUGAUAAUUUCUAUUAUAUAACAAUGAGUACACAACCUCAGUAAUGACAAUUCGCUGCAACCAGAAGUUAGCUUAGGAAUCUCAUCAAUCUACAAAAAAGAAACACAUCGUUAAGUGUUUACGUCCUUGUUCUUCCUAAAAAGAAUUUAUAUGAAAAAAAGAUGAAUAGCAUCUUCCCAUUACACAGUUACACAGUUACACAAAGAAAUAACAGAACAAUGAAGCAAACUAUAAUCCACACCCUAAAUUGAAUAAGCUAUCCAAAAGGGUAAUUAGAAGCUUUGUAUAGUUAGUUUAAACCUUCUUCAAGAAAGCGAUAAACCAGCAAGGAUUCAUGCACUAAGCCUAUGCGACUCUCACUUUUUCUGGGAAUCUAUUCGAGCUAAAUAGCAACGCAAUUGACGAAAUUAUUCACAAUUUGAGUCUCACUUAGUCCUUAGGAUUACUACCUCGUUUGUAGACCAAAAUGCACUUUCAAAAUCAUAUCAGAGCUAAAAUAGCAAUUCAACACCUCAAUCAAAUCAAUUACUUAAUAAAAAUUUCUGCAAGG
Molecule: long non-coding RNA, 1642 nt
Filed under: Nicotiana benthamiana
Lineage: Eukaryota; Viridiplantae; Streptophyta; Magnoliopsida; Solanales; Solanaceae
Description: long non-coding RNA (NBEN_LNC011606)
Source: RNAcentral